GCGGGUUUGGAGAGUUCGGACCGCCGCGAGGUUACAAAAACCCCGUGCCAUCGCCGUUUGCUGGCAAGUCGCAAAGUGGAACGCAAAGGCGAACGAGCUCAGUAACUCAAAACUGAACGCGGUGCUAAAAUCCAACAAAAAAAAAACCAAAAAAUAUACUAAAAGACUUACACAAAAAAAAAACCCUAACUCACACACCUGAGGGCGACAGCACUGGCACUUACCUGUCGUGUUGGCGAUCCGAUCAGUGCACCAUCAGCCAGCGGAGCGAACACACCAGACACCAAGCUACUAGCUACCAGCUAGCAGUCAGCACCAGCGCCCUGGACCUCUCUCUCCGGGCGCUAUCAACCUGAGUGUUAGAUAAACUGAUAAUACGACUGAAGCAAACAGCGGAAACAAACGUGGCGUUAACUGCUAUAUAUUAAAAACAAAAAAACCCUAUAUAUAUAUCACACACAUUCGCAUAACAACCGAAAGACAAUAACCGAAGUAAAACAAAAACGAGUCAGCGGCAAAGUGUCAAUAAAACUCUCGAAUUCAUUAACACAACUCAAAACGUUCUAUUAGUAAGCACUUGCAAAUUUCACUAAAAAAGCAUAUAUAUAUCUGUAUAAUAUAUGGAGGAAAUAGCUGGCGAGAGAGACGGCAACAGAGCGACAGAGAGAGAGAGAGGAUGCUAGACACAAAUUAGCGUGGCCAGCAGUCAAAAGGUCUAAUAGAAGCGCGUGUAUGCCAGUGUACUAGCCCCAUAAGUACACCCCGACGAGACCCAGAGCCAUGAUCGUAAAAACUACAUCAAAAAAAUGUAAAAAAUAGCCAGACGGGGGACUGCUGCUGUCAUGUCCUUGGCCUGUAAAAGGGCAGGUGAGUUCAACAUUAACGAAAAAAUUUUUUAUUGUACAUCUAGGCGUAUUAUAUUUUGUCUGUGGUUUUUUUUUUACGAUUAUUGGGUGCAUCAUCAUUAAUCACAGCCUCUAGAGAGCCCUGGGCUGGAAAACCUAAUGGAUCUCCAGUCCAGCAGGCGAAGAAAAUCUAUUGAAAUCGACUGUUGGUCGGGAAAAAUUGAAAACUAAUUGAUCGGGCCACAGUGGAUUUCAUUCAUUGGGCUGAUUGGUCUUUGAAAGGCAACUCUUGAUUGGAGGGAUUAGGAGUAGAUGGUCUGGAAAUUUUCCAUAAAUACUAUAAUGUUUGAGCUUUAUUAUGGCUUGGGAUGUCCAAAAAUAAAGAAUGUAUCUAUAGAAUCCAUCACAGACUCCCAUCUACGGCAGCGGAGCGUUGCUUUCUUCUCACAAUCAGACCAUAGCUAACCGCUGGUAAUUUUCUGGCCAUAAUUCCAGCUGUCAAAGCUGGGAUCCCUCGCUUUUGUGCCCAAUCAUUUCACAUAAUUUGUAGCAUGGCAGUCGAAUGGCAGGGAAAACAUUUAGCGGCGCUUUAAACAAGUCAAUAAACGAUUAAAAUAAUGAUUUUUCAAAAGCCCCAAAGCGAAGUCAAGAUACCACGAACCACCAAACAAAAUAGAAAAAGAUCCAAAAUCGAAUGGCCCCACACAAACACAAAAGGUAACACGGCCCACAAAAAUAUAAUACAAAAGCACUCACAGUCUCUAAAGAAAAAGGUACGAAAAUGCUUAUUGCCAGCAACAAAAAAUGAUAUAAUAAAAGGCAGCCUCGGUAGGCAGUAAGCUCAGUGCUCAGAGUGUUGCUUAUAAUUGCGAGCCGAGUUCAGGCCAUCGGGAGUGACAUCAUUUUCGGGCAACUUUUAUUUUGUUUCAUAUUAUUUCGAGUGUCUGCGCGACCGGGUUUUUUUGCUUUUUUUUUCCUCCUCUGUUUUGGGCCAGAAAUAUUGCCAAACAAGUUGUUGGGUUGUACGGCGGGAGUGAGUAUAUUUCCGAGAGCUUUAAUUGCUAUGACUUUAUUAGGUUAUCAGAGCCACUGAGCCACCAAGCCAAAGACCAUCUCGAUGCCUUACGCCUGAGUUAUGUCUCAUUAGCCACACGUGUGAGCCGCGUCCGGAUCGAAGAUGAGAGCUGGAGCUGGCAGUGAAAGAACCCACGACCGCGACUGCUCCUCCAUCUCGUUCUCCAGCCAUCUUCUGUCCGGGUUGCACGCUCUCCAUCCCGCUCCACCACGCAUACAGUUGCAAUAUCAAUUACAGCAUGCCACAGGAGCAGUAGGCAGUGAACAGUAACUGGUUUCGGUUAGGGUGUAUAUCGAUAGGGUAUAUCGGCUUUAUUGGUUUUCCAUAAAAAGAAAUAUUUCAGAGAAAAGAUACUUAGUCUUCUAGAAGCCUAGAACAAGAUACUUUUGUAUCUGAGAAGUCAGUUGCCAGAGAAAGGGCACUUGGCAAGUCGUCAGGACUGCACUUCGAUGCCGACAGUUGGCUGCUGUUACCUUUUCUUGGGACACCUUCUGCUCCUUGUGCUCAAAGGUUUCAUGUUGCAUUCGGUCGCCUUGACUGCAUCCUCUCAGAAAAUGACCCAGAGCUAUCGCCACCACUACCAGUGUCCGUACCAUUGCCAUAAAGUUGCAGCAGGAAACCGGCAACGGCAACGGCAAUGGCAAUGGCAGCGGGAGCAGGAGCGGCAACAAUUUGCAAACUCAUGAUGCAGCCCUAAAAGGCCGCCUCAUCCGCUCGGGUUCGGGCAAAUAAAAAGUGCGUGAUUUGUGUGAUGUGCCAAGCCACCAGAGAGGCCAGGCCAACCGAGACAGGAAGACAGGAGAAAGAGAGAAAGAGUCUCUCAAGUCCCUGGCAAUCCAUCAGGGCAGUCAGGGCCGACAGUUUGCCGGAGGUCUGUUGACCCCUAAGUGCUCUUCUCCUGCGCUCUCCCAGCAAACCUUGCAACCUUGCAACAUGGCCGGCAUGGCUGGCAUGGCAGGCAUGGCACGGCAUGGCAACCUGGUAACAGCAGUUGCGCAUGUCUAAUUGCAGUCAAGUCGGUAGUGAGAGAUAGUGAGAGGCUCUCAGGGUUCACGGCCCGGUAUCCGUGAGAAUUUGCCACCUGUCAGGCCGCGAUAAUUGCCAGCGGGUCAGAGCCAAGCAGCAACUACGGCGGCAGCCCCAUCAACAGGUAACUUGAAGACCUCAACAGCACUUGGUCUUGAGCCGUCUUGAGCACACAACUCCGACAUAGACUCUACUUGUGGCCUCUCAGGUGGUAGAAACAGAACAUUCCCAGCUUAGUCCAAGUUUUCUGGUUUGAAAAACACUUUUUUAAAACCAUAUGAUUACACAACCCCCCCACAGACAGCUGACAAAUGGUAGUUUUGUGUGAAAAGAUUCGAGUUUUGAUUUGAUUGCCUCAUUAUUUUCAGGCUAAUCGCAGAACUGUUUUUGGGAAGUGAACAAAACCAGAAUAGUGUCUGGCUGUGGCUCUGUCUGUGGCAGUGACUCUGUGGCUUCCGCUUAAAUCUCUCCCCAGCCAUUUGAUGAAAAAAGAGCCAAGAGUUCCCAACAGCAGCUACAACAUUUUUAUUAGGCUGACUGGCCAAAGGUUUCCCAUUCAAGUGGCUUGUCACUUGUUCUGUUUCUGUUGCUGUUUCUGUUUCUGUUGUGCUGGGCACUUCUAAAAAAGUUGUUGGGUUUCCUGGAAUGGCCCCAGAUCGCAGACCCUGUCUCUCCGGCCCUGUCUCAGUCUUAUUUUAUUUUAUGUUAUGUUUUUUUUUGUGUAUGUGUUUCCUUUUUUUUUUAUAUUCGAGUAUAUAUUUUUUAUAUGUUUGUUUGUGCUGACGGUAGCUGACCUUUUUGUUGCUGCGGCUGGGGCUGGGGCUGAGGCUGCUGCGGUUGCCACAGCGAUGUUGCUGCUGCUUUUCGGGAGAAGUUGUAAAAUGUUGUUCAAAGCGCCGCAGAAACCGUUGGCGUUAAUGAUCGCCGCUGGGCAUGCGACGAGGACGAGGAUCAUGUUGAGGAUGCGGUGGCAAGCGUUUCCUAAUAGCUCAGGCCAGGCCAUGCCAGGCCAAGGAACGAAGGAGUCUGGCGCCCAGACCCGACCCUCCUCAACCAGCCAUCGCAAUGUUGAACGUUUUGGGCUACUGGUUGCGUUUUCACGCAACAAAUGGCAACAUUUAAAAGUCCAUUUCGCCUGCUCAUCUCCUUGCGAUUCGGCGGGGCUCACCUUCAGCCCGGCUCAUCUUCAUCCGCGCCCCUCCGACUGCGACGUUAAGCACAGGUGCACAGCGGGCAGCAGUCACAACACAGCUCUGGCUCAUAUAUCUUGGCUCUGAAUGGGGAUAGUUGGGGAGCUGGAGAUGGAGCUGGAGCUGGAGGAGUUUUUGGGCGAGAGGCCAAAGCUGGCUCAAUUGAUGCUGACAGCAAAUGAAAGGCUCUGGCUGAGAGACUGCAACUGAGACCUCGGCUUGAAUAGCAAAUCCCAGGUACAGUGGUGACAGGACAUGACAAGAUCCCAGGCGAAAUGAACACGGAAAGAUGGUUGCUUUUUAAUUGGAGAUUAAAGAGAAUUAUCUAUCUCUAUCCGGACCUUAAGGCCAACUUGACAAAGAAAGUGAGAUAUAUUUCAUAGAUAGAGAUACAAUCUCCGGCAACUGGAUAAGCCAGUUAGUCUUAAUUAAAUAUGCAUCAUCUCCAUGGACAAAGAACUUCUAAUUAACUCUCCUCGAAGAUCGACCUGGGGUGGCUAAAUAUCUCAAUUUUCUUGGCUCUGAAGGAGCUCAUAAAAUGUGGCUUUAUGGCGUUAGAAAUGAACUUUUUAAUAAACUCGACUUGUUGGCAAGUACUUCAAUGAUUUUAUGAGCCUCACACGGGACACUGUUCCUGGCUUAGCCUUUCUGGCCAUGGGCUUAUGGUAGUACUUCCUCGCCAGAUGGGUAAACCAGUUUUUUGGCUGCCCAUUCGAAUCGAAUCGAGCAGAGUAACCACAAACGGAGACGAAGUCGAAGGCUCCGACUCAGACUCCCCACAAGAUCAAUUCUAGCAGAUUUCACUUUUUCCCUGGCCGGGCUCAAAGUUGGGAUGUCAGUUUUUUUAGCCUCCUUUUUUUUUGUAAGUUUAGGUGCAGCCCGAACGGUUGCAACUGUUGCUUGUGUUGCCUGUGUUGCUGGCUUGUGUUGCUGGCUGCUGGCUGUUGGCUGGUCGUGUGUGUUGCCUGGCUUGUCGUCGUUUUGUUGUUGCCAGCCUCCUCGGAUUCCUGGAUCGCUGUGGCACAUUGCAUUUUUAUCUCAAUGAGUCGGGCAAACAUGCUGUUGUUGGCUGGUUGCAUGCCACAAAUGUGCGAUUGGCAUGUCAAAAGAAUUAUGUAUUGAUUUUUGAUUUCUCCCUAAAAGCGGAAGUUUCUUCUAAGCCAUGUGGUUCGCUUGGCUCACUGUACAUGAGCCCGCCCCGUACAUGAAAACUUAUUAAAAUGAAACAAAUUAAAUGGCCGGGCUUAGUGCCAGCAGCUCAUUGAACAUCUAUUGAGCGGCUAUUGGGCAUCGAGGCUGGAAACUGGUUUCAUUCUCCAAGUGGGCGCCGCUUGGCCGCAAAAUGAAUGACACUAAACGCUCUUGACAGCAAACAUUUGUCCGCCGCCGAGGCAGUUAAUUAGUUUUGCACGAAAUUAUGUUAGUUAAUUGAUUAACUAUCGAAUAUUAAAGAGCUCUCCGCUGCUAGCUGUUGGCUCUUCGCUCUGAGCAGGAGGUGCAGGUUCAGGCCAAGAUCGAUCUGGUCGGAUAGCAUGGCUCGGCCCUGCCUUAAAAAUUCGAAAACAUAAAUUGCUGUCUUCUCUUUCGCUGGUCCGUGUCCCGAGGAGUUGUGAUCUCGGAGGCUGCUGCACCCACGCAGCCGAAUCGAAGACCAAAAACUGAAAACCGCACAAUCCAGGCUGGCCUUCUCUAAAUAUGGACAUGGGCGGCCAGAAAGUACGAGGGGCCGAACAUCGUGGAGGAGUAACCACGCAGACCAGUUCGGAGUCAGUGAUCUGGGCUGAGCAGAAGCUGAACUUGGCUCUUUCGUGGCUUAAAUAGUGUUGGGUAGAAAGAGUUGGCCGAGAAAUUGGUUACUAAUGAUAGAGAAGGAAGCCCUACUCGGAAUGUGGUGUACUCUGAUUUGGGUCUAGAAUUUUUAAAGAGAAAACAAGCUAAAGAUAAAGAUAGUUAGUGAACUUAAGAAAUAUAAUUAGAUGGUUAAUAAAAAACCAAUAACUCAGCAAAUAACUCAGCUAUAACUUGAAUAAAAGAUUGAAAACCCUCAAGUCUGGACUGAAACAAAGCCUCUGAAGUACAAAAAGAGAAUGUUCGAGUCUCGACUGGGACUAAAGUGACGAUGGAGAGAUCAAGAGAAUGGCCAGAUCCAAUAGAUAAAAUAGCCUUAAACUAUGAAAGUCAUCAAUGCCCGCAAAUGCCUUGCGAUUAGUCCGCCGAUACGACUAGAACUCUGGUGAGUGGCAAGUUCCGUUUCCAUCCAAUAUUCUAGUAAAGAAAAAGAUCGUGCCGACCACGUAAUACUAAAAGAAUCGUUCUUUGUUUCGGGUCAUAUGAAUAUAUACUAUUUAUAUAUCCCGCCAUAAGCUGCUCAUCAGCUUUGUUGGUGAGUUGCUAAUGAAGAUCGGAAUGGGCCAGAAUUGGGAUGACUGUUUGUGUGCGUUGGUAAUUAAUAAAAAUUUCAACAAAAUCCGACACGACACACUCGGCUCACAACACGGCAUAGUGGUAUACAGGAAAAUGGCAUUGUGUGGGGAUGAUGGGUACGAGAAUACCAAAAAAUUAGAGCCAGCCAGACAAUGGUCUCGGCCGGGCCAACGCAUUGAAAAUUGUGCGCAUUGUUCGGAUGACUAUACGGCCCAGUCGAUCGAGGCGAUCUCACUGUCAACUACUUGAAACCAGAAUGGCUAAAAGCGAAGAAAAAAAAUUAUAAAAUAAACCACAUAACAGAUGGGGGGAAAAAAACAACACAAAAAUCACAUACACGACUUUUUCGUAACAGUCACGUUUUUUAUUCCAUUUUAUUUACUUUGCUGACAAAACAAGAAAAGUACUGGCCAAAAACGAACAAAAUACGAAAAUCGGGCUCAGCUCGCGCCCAAAGUUGACGCAUCGUGCCAGCAAACAAAUCAUAAAUAUCAGAAGAAAAAAUCCAUAAAAAGUGGUAGCUAUGAGAAGGCAUAAAAUCAGAAAUCCAACAAAUCAGAUUUAAAGAAAAAAUAGUAAAAAAAAAAUUAUGGUUAGAAUGGCUGGGAGGAGGAGUUGUAGGAAAUGGCUGAUAUUUUUGGGGAGGGAUUAUGAUGUUGAAGUCGAUUUAAUGACAGCUUCAGGUUAGUUUGCAGGCCAUUCCUGCAAUUAGUUUUCUUCAUGUCGUAGAUUCCGUGGCCGUGUCUCUAUCUCAGUCCCUGUCCCUGGUGGCGUAUACGCAAUCCGCUCAUAUAUCAUUCCCACUAGUUGUUACUGCUGUUGUAUGUGUGAAUGAUGAGUGUUGAGUUGCAGGUAAUAAUUGCUACUGGUCGUCAACGGGCUUGUCGUGAGCUCAGCGCAAACAUAUAAUUAAGAUUGAGCACCGGCUCAAGAUGAAGUCUCCAAAAAGGUCACUCUCUCCGCGUCCGCGUCCGCGUCCCUGUCUCUUUAUCCGUUCGCUCUUAAAAGGCCAUAUAUUUUAGCCAAAAAAAAAAAAUAAACUGCAUAGCUUGGCACAAUUAUGAAAUAUUUUUGCAAAAUUCAGAAAAAAAAACAGCAACCUCCAAACCGGUUUGGGCAGCGUAAUGAAGGAUAAUGAUGAUGAUGAUGACGAUGCGGGGCCCAGGCUGCAAGCUCCCAGCUCCAAGCAUCCCAUCUCGCAGCCGCAAUCUUCGAGCCUUAAACCUGGUCUAGAAGUGGAGAAAAGAUUUAUGCCUGUGCGGCCGUGGCAAGGAGCCUGCCGUGGCAGCGAAAAGAUGAAGAUGCCACUUGCCACUUGCAACGAGCGAGCAGAGCUCGCCCGCAGGCCGCUUUAUUUGUCAAGAUUAAUUACAAAAAUUUGCGUUAAAUCAUAAUUUUUAAUGUUUUAUGAGCCAGCCGCCCGCCUAGAAUGGCGUUUGGAAAACUAAAAAAAAAACUAAAAAAAUGGGAGAAACACCUUUCAUUGAUUUACGAGUCAUUGUUGGGGAGAGCGGAGUACUAGCCAAGUUGUUGACAAGCCCAUGCUGGGAAUGCCUUUGGCAUUUUGCCUGGGAAUGACAUUUAUCCGAGUCCGGGGCUUGAUAAGAUUCGUUGGCCACUUGGGCUCAUGAAUCAGCAUGGAAUUUCGGUGGGUUAGCGAAAUUCCUGGCACUCCAUAACAACAUCAUCAAAGGCUGCAGCGCGAUUCCCAGGAGUCCUUUCAGCGAAACCGCCGCUAACUGAACGAUGUAAGAAUUACAGAAGUACCUGAAGAAGCAACCCCCUUCUGAAAACCUGAUGCUGUUUAUGGUUUUAAUUAAACGGGGGCAACAUUGGUGCGGCUCAUUAGCGGCAAUUUGUUGGGCAUGCUGCCGUCAAAUCGAAUCGGUAGCUCUUUUCACAGAAGCCACACGGUCCCCAGAUAACCCGUCAACCAAUCCCCAAUACCCAGUACCCAAUUCUGGAUAAGCUGACACCCAGGCUCGCCUUCGAGCUCCAGUUCCCGCCACAAAAACCUGCUAAUUAUGCAUGUGUGCUGUGACGGUUGUGUCCGCGUGUCCGCAUGUCCACAUGUCCGCGUGUCGGCGGGGUUUCUUCCACCAGAAUGGUGGCCUCACUCUGUUUUUUUUACCUUAUCUAUCAAAGCGUUGCGGGGCAUAAAAUUCAGAUUGACGCUCCGGCCAGUGAAAGCGUGUGAACUGAGCUUGAAACGUGGCAGAGACCUAGCCAGAGAUAUAGAUAUGUAGACCAGCAAACAGAACGGCUAUAUAAAUUAAACCAAAACCGCAAAUAAACAUGAGGUUUUCAAAUAGAGCGAGUAGGGAAAAAAACACUAAAGAUAAGGUGCAACAAAUACGAGGGAUUGUGGAGGGAAUAUGCAUGAAAUGUAAUUUAUUUAAACCGAUUUUGUGUACAAAUUGGUGUUUUAUUUUAUAAUACAUAAUUGGAUAAUGACUCA
This is a long non-coding RNA of Drosophila ananassae, 9018 nucleotides long. RefSeq lists it as uncharacterized. NCBI's taxonomy places the organism in Eukaryota, Metazoa, Arthropoda, Insecta, Diptera, Drosophilidae. The record is from RefSeq and is a predicted model, not a curated record. The transcript has 2 exons.